GGCUGCAGUCCAGGAUCUUCGGCAAUGGGCGCAAGCCUGACCGAGCGAUGCUGCGUGCUGGAUGAAGGUCUUCGGAUUGUAAACAGCUGUUGGGGGGGAUGAAGUGCAUGGGAGCUAUCUCCUGUGUUUGACCUACCCCCAGAGAAAGCGCGGGCUAAGUUCGUGCCAUCAGCCGCGGUAAUACCAACUGAGCGAACGUUAUUCGGAUUCACUGGGCUUAAAGGGUGCGUAGGCGGCUUGUAAGUGGGAUGUGAAAUUUUGCGGCUCAACCGUAAGACUGCAUCUCAUACUGGCAAGCUUGAGUGAGUCAGGGGUGUGUGGAACUGCCAGUGGAGCGGUGAAAUGUGUUGAUAUUGGCAGGAACGCCGGUGGCAAAAGCAACACACUGGGGCUUAACUGACUCUGAGGCACUGAAGCCAGGGGAGCAAACGGGAUUACAUACCCCGGUAGUCCUGGCCGUAAACUAUGAGUACUACGUUGGGGGGAUUCGUUCUCCCAGCCUUAGGGAAACCGUUAAGUACUCUCCCUGGGCUUGUGGUCAUUGGGCUGAUCCUCGACUGCUUGACGGGGGCUCACA
Molecule: ribosomal RNA, 577 nt
Filed under: uncultured Planctomycetota bacterium
Lineage: Bacteria; Pseudomonadati; Planctomycetota
Description: bacterial SSU rRNA
Rfam family: Bacterial small subunit ribosomal RNA
Source: RNAcentral